RNAcentral lists this ribosomal RNA (445 nucleotides) under uncultured bacterium. RNAcentral's name for it is "partial 16S ribosomal RNA". It matches the Rfam family "Bacterial small subunit ribosomal RNA", at positions 354 to 796 of the family's 1533-position model. The record is from RNAcentral.
GUAGGGAAUAUUGGGCAAUGGGUGCAAGUCUGACCCAGCCAUGCCGCGUGCAGGAAGAAGGUCCUCUGGAUUGUAAACUGCUUUUUUGGGGGAAGAAUAGUUUUCUUGCGAGGAAAUGUGACGGUACCCUAAGAAUAAGCCACGGCUAACUACGUGCCAGCAGCCGCGGUAAUACGUAGGUGGCAAGCGUUGUCCGGAUUUAUUGGGUUUAAAGGGUGCGUAGGUGGUUUGAUAAGUCAGUGGUGAAAGCCGGUUGCGCAACAAUCGAGUUGCCAUUGAUACUGUCGGACUUGAGAGAAGUGGAGGUUCAUGGAAUGGAUGGUGUAGCGGUGAAAUGCAUAGAUAUCAUCCAGAACGUCGAUUGCGAAGGCAGUGGGCUGUACUUUAUCUGACACUGAGGCACGAAAGUGUGGGGAUCAAACAGGAUUAGAUACCCGUGUAGUCC